CAUAUGCUCAUGCCUUGAGUUCUCCAUGCCCAUGUACUCCAGUGUUUCUUGUGCCUUUGUGGAUUUACUUUCUGUUGGACAUCUUGGAUUAUACAACCGUUGUGUUUUUGGACUGCUCACAUCUCCAAUGUAUCUACUGAAGGCUGUAUGAGCGAAGGAGAGGAGGAGGGAUGCCAUGAUCCCGUGGAUAGCUUCAACAUGUGCUGUAAAAAAACACGUGCAGCUCAGCUUAAGUUAGACCAAAAAGAUGGUCAUGGAUUCCCAACACAGCAAGACACCACUGACACCACUGAUGAUGCAAGAGCUGCCAGUACUGUACCUCGGGUGGGUACCAGAGAUAUUGUACAAAGGUUUGCUUAGGAUGCAGCAUGAGAGCAAGGUAGACAGGUAGGCUGCUCUGUUACCAUGCUGAGCCUCCAGAGGGGAGGAUGAGAACGAAAGUAAAUUCCAUCUUAGAAAACACCACUCGCCCACUAUGCUAUCCUGAUGCAUCUAGGGAUCAUCAUCAGACUUUGCUUUAUUCCCCUUAAGGUGCAACAAGGUGCUUUAAGUAUCCUUUUGUGCCAUCACAGUGAACACUUCCAGACGUCUUGGACAGAUCAGUGAGAAGCUGCAGAGCAUCUGCAGUAUAUGUAUGAACAAGCAUGGAUGAGUUAUACCGUUAAGCAAUUUCUAAAUGUACAGUUUAUACUUACAUUCGAGGAUAACUGAAGUUUAAUUUACAUUUACUUUAUGCAGAGGCAUGCAUGUUUAAAUGUACAAUGCAUCAAGUGUUAAACAUCUGCACAUUACACAUAAACAUGCAUAUACUGUACAUUUACUACAAAUUUAGCAUCACCUCUUCAACCCCAAAUAUGGUGCAAAGGCACUUAAAUGUGCAUCUACAACUUUGACUUCAUCAGGUAUGAUUAUUGUACUGUUAGUUCACUCUGCAUACCCUAAAGUGUAUCACAAAUAUGAUGUCCCUCUUCACAAACUUCACCAUACACAAUAUAACCAAGUAUCUGUGCCUGAUUGUGCAGACGUCUCUUCAAUAAAAAGCUGGAAAAUUGAGAGGGAGGACUGCAUCACAAUUGGAAUACAAAAGAUGAGGACAACCGGAAGUGCUGCUGCUCCCAGUUCAGCCUGAGAGCGGCAGAAGAGAGCUGGAGAUGCCCUCUGUGCAGAUUUCAUGAAAAGAAAGUACUGGCUGUGAGGUUACUAAGGGACAUCUCAGAUAUGUAGUCAUAUAACUGAAAUUCAGGGAUUGAUUCUACUAGCUUCCUCAGGUUUUUCUAAAAAAAACUCAUAUCAGAGAUGACUAUUAGCCUGUAAUUAAGCAGACAUUAAGCCCACUAUGUAAUACAGUUCCUUUGAGUCAAACUUUUUCAUGCAGUGUAAAUAGUAUUUUGUCCUCUCCCUGCAUGUAUGCUGUAUAUACACGUAUAUGUAAAGACUCACACAUACAUACACGUUUUACGCCAGAUGUUUCUGAGUAAAACAUUCAUCCCAUGACGCAUAUCUUUCUCCAUAUUGAGGAUGACAUCAAUACUUUCAAAAAGUCACACACUGGUCUGACAGUGAUUCAUCACAUCAAGGCCUUCUCAAUAAUCAGGAAAGAAAUAAGUGAAAGCAAGAUUAAAAACUCUUUCUUUUUAAUAGCCUCCCACUGUAGUACUGUAUGUUCAAGUAGUUGAUCUAAUAUAUUUAUGUUAUCACUUAAAUAAAAUUGUUGAUACAACUUGGCCCAAUAGCCACUGAUUUGGUAUUUAAUGUU
Long non-coding RNA from Micropterus dolomieu (smallmouth bass), 1756 nucleotides. RefSeq lists it as uncharacterized. NCBI's taxonomy places the organism in Eukaryota, Metazoa, Chordata, Actinopteri, Centrarchiformes, Centrarchidae. The transcript has 3 exons. The record is from RefSeq and is a predicted model, not a curated record.